AUUGAACGCUGGCGGAAUGCUUUACACAUGCAAGUCGAGCGGCAGCGCGGGGGCAACCCUGGCGGCGAGCGGCGAACGGGUGAGUAACAUAUCGGAACGUACCCCGUCGUGGGGGAUAACACAGCGAAAGCUGUGCUAAUACCGCAUACGACCUGAGGGUGAAAGCGGGGGAUCGCAAGACCUCGCGCGAUGGGAGCGGCCGAUAUCGGAUUAGCUUGUUGGUGAGGUAAAGGCUCACCAAGGCGACGAUCCGUAGCUGGUCUGAGAGGACGACCAGCCACACUGGAACUGAGACACGGUCCAGACUCCUACGGGAGGCAGCAGUGGGGAAUUUUGGACAAUGGGGGCGAACCCUGAUCCAGCCAUUCCGCGUGAGUGAAGAAGGCCUC
This 389-nucleotide ribosomal RNA is filed under the name uncultured bacterium. RNAcentral describes it as "bacterial SSU rRNA". It matches the Rfam family "Bacterial small subunit ribosomal RNA", at positions 29 to 418 of the family's 1533-position model. The record is from RNAcentral.